GUGGGGAAUAUUGGGCAAUGGGCGCAAGCCUGACCCAGCAACGCCGCGUGAGGGAAGAAGGCUUUCGGGUUGUAAACCUCUGUCCUUGGUGACGAAACAAAUGACGGUAGCCAAGGAGGAAGCCCCGGCUAACUACGUGCCAGCAGCCGCGGUAAUAUGUAGGGGGCGAGCGUUGUCCGGAAUUACUGGACGUAAAGGGUGCGUAGGUGGCCUUUUAAGUUGGAUGUGAAAUACCCGGGCUUAACUUGGGGGGUGCAUCCAAAACUGGGAGGCUAGAGUGCAGGAGAGGAAAGCGGAAUUCCUAGUGUAGCGGUGAAAUGCGUAGAUAUUAGGAGGAACACCAGUGGCGAAGGCGGCUUUCUGGACUGUAACUGACACUGAGGCACGAAAGCGUGGGGAGCAAACAGGAUUAGAAACCCUGGUAGUCC
This 428-nucleotide ribosomal RNA is filed under the name uncultured bacterium. RNAcentral's name for it is "partial 16S ribosomal RNA". It matches the Rfam family "Bacterial small subunit ribosomal RNA", at positions 354 to 796 of the family's 1533-position model. The record is from RNAcentral.